RNAcentral lists this ribosomal RNA (439 nucleotides) under uncultured bacterium. Its description in RNAcentral is "partial 16S ribosomal RNA". It matches the Rfam family "Bacterial small subunit ribosomal RNA", at positions 339 to 795 of the family's 1533-position model. The record is from RNAcentral.
CUACGGGCGGCAGCAGUGGGGAAUAUUGCACAAUGGAGGAAACUCUGAUGCAGCAACGCCGCGUGGAGGAUGACACUUUUCGGAGCGUAAACUCCUUUUAUAUAGGAAGAAGAUGACGGUACUAUAUGAAUAAGCGCCGGCUAACUCCGUGCCAGCAGCCGCGGUAAUACGGAGGGCGCAAGCGUUACUCGGAAUCACUGGGCGUAAAGAGCGUGUAGGCGGAUUAAAAAGUCAGAAGUGAAAUCCUAUAGCUUAACUAUAGAACUGCUUCUGAAACUCUUGAUCUAGAAUAUGGGAGAGGUAGAUGGAAUUUCUGGUGUAGGGGUAAAAUCCGUAGAGAUCAGAAGGAAUACCGAUUGCGAAGGCGAUCUACUAGAACAUUAUUGACGCUGAGACGCGAAAGCGUGGGGAGCAAACAGGAUUAGAUACCCUUGUAGUC